This 285-nucleotide long non-coding RNA is filed under the name Gossypium raimondii (Peruvian cotton). RNAcentral describes it as "long non-coding RNA (GRAI_LNC007774)". The record is from RNAcentral. Lineage: Eukaryota; Viridiplantae; Streptophyta; Magnoliopsida; Malvales; Malvaceae.
UCCUUUGUUGCAGGUACACGCUCGGAUGGGGCGUACGGAGGCGCGGUGAUGUGGAGGCUCACGUGGAUUUGGCGCGGAGGCGCUACACUCGCGCAGACGCAACAUGCGCGAGGAGGAGGCCUGGCUCUGCUGCGGCGGCUGAAGCUAUUUUAGAAACUGCUAGGGUUUCUGCUUAUGCUUUGGGCUCAGAAUCGGGUCUAAGUUUAGGUACUGGGUUGAGAUUUGGGCCAUUGGGCUGGUGUUGUGUUAUUGGAUAUUCAGGCUAGUGGGCUUAGGUAAACGGGG